GCGAACCGGGAGAACUGAAACAUCUCAGUACCCCGAGGAAAAGAAAUCAACCGAGAUUCCCCUAGUAGCGGCGAGCGAACGGGGAACAGCCCAGAGUCUUAAUCAAUGGCAGCAUCAGGAGAACGGUCUGGAAAGUCCGGCAGUAAAGGGUGAUAGCCCCGUAUCCGAAGAUGCUGUUAUUGUGAACUCGACGAGUAGGGCGGGGACACGUGUUAUCCUGUCUGAAUAUGGGGGGACCAUCCUCCAAGGCUAAAUACUCCUGAUUGACCGAUAGUGAACCAGUACCGUGAGGGAAAGGCGA
This 301-nucleotide ribosomal RNA is filed under the name Shigella sp. FC1967. Its description in RNAcentral is "bacterial LSU rRNA". It matches the Rfam family "Bacterial large subunit ribosomal RNA", at positions 179 to 517 of the family's 2925-position model. The record is from RNAcentral. Lineage: Bacteria; Pseudomonadati; Pseudomonadota; Gammaproteobacteria; Enterobacterales; Enterobacteriaceae.